RNAcentral lists this ribosomal RNA (253 nucleotides) under uncultured bacterium. RNAcentral's name for it is "partial 16S ribosomal RNA". It matches the Rfam family "Bacterial small subunit ribosomal RNA", at positions 524 to 776 of the family's 1533-position model. The record is from RNAcentral.
UACGGAGGGUGCAAGCGUUAUCCGGAUUCACUGGGUUUAAAGGGAGCGUAGGUGGGUUGGUAAGUCAGCGGUGAAAUCCCCGAGCUUAACUUGGGAACUGCCAUUGAUACUACCAGUCUUGAAUACUGUGGAGGUAAGCGGAAUAUAUCAUGUAGCGGUGAAAUGCUUAGAUAUGAUAUAGAACACCAAUAGCGAAGGCAGCUUACUACGCAGUUAUUGACACUGAGGCUCGAAAGCGUGGGGAUCAAACAGG